This 849-nucleotide non-coding RNA is filed under the name Nematostella vectensis (starlet sea anemone). Its description in RNAcentral is "Eukaryotic large subunit ribosomal RNA". It matches the Rfam family "Eukaryotic large subunit ribosomal RNA", at positions 1 to 649 of the family's 3401-position model. Lineage: Eukaryota; Metazoa; Cnidaria; Anthozoa; Actiniaria; Edwardsiidae. The record is from Rfam by way of RNAcentral.
UGACCUCAGAUCAGGCAAGGCUACCCGCUGAAUUUAAGCAUAUUAAUAAGCGGAGGAAAAGAAACUAACAAGGAUUCCCCUAGUAAUGGCGAAUGAAGCGGGAACAGCUCAAAUUUAAAAUCUCCGUUGCUUGCAACGGCGAAUUGUAGUUUCGAGAAGCACUUUCUCGGCGGAUCCGAGGUCGUCCAAGUUGCUUGGAACAGCACGUCGUAGAGGGUGACAACCCCGUCUGCGGCGAUCUCGGCCGUUCACGAUGUAAAUUUAGAGGAUCGAGAAUUCACAUUUGAGAAGGUGGAGAAGUCGUAGUUAGCAACUGUUUCUUGGAUCUUGCAGGAGGAGAAUCGAGUCCGAUGUUUGCUUCGAAUCGGUUUCGGGGAUUGCGCUCGCUUGGGGAGCUUUUAUAUGCUUUCGCUAAAGUUGAUCCCAGAAGCUUAUAAAACUUUCAUAUGUCUUCCGUAAACUGUGGGUGCACUAUUAACGUUAAAAAAAGUGUCAUUAGCCGCGGUAAGUAGUUUCGGGAAAACGUCCCUCUUUCCCCUAAAAUUUGUGGAUGGUUCAUUUUUUGCAUUUCUUUCAAUAAUAUUGGCGCCAUCCUUCUCCCCUAAACAAUAUAUCCUGAUUAAGAAUACCCAGAUCUUUUAUCUACCGCGGAAUGUCUGGGAUUGCGUCUGAGCAGUAAUAUACAAUCCACAACACUGUCUCGUAUUUCAAGACGAUCGUUCUUCUAGUGACGAAGUUGGUCAAUUUGCAUUAGAACUUUGCUUAAAGCGAUGGUAAAUGAGAGGACUCGGGUAGGACAUAGACGUAUUAUUAUUGUAGUGUUUUUGGCAUACCAUGCUGUCAUUGUAC